ACGGCCAUAUCACAUUAAAAUAUCUGUUCUCAUCCGAUUACCGAAGUUAAGCAACAUCGAUCCUGGUCAGUAUCUAGAUGGGUGAUCGCCUGGGAAUACUAAGUGC
Acanthosepion pharaonis is the source of this 106-nucleotide non-coding RNA. The record is from the annotation of a GenBank genome assembly. Lineage: Eukaryota; Metazoa; Mollusca; Cephalopoda; Sepiida; Sepiidae.